AUGAUGGACUAUAGGACAGGACUGCUGCUUUCAACUGCCUGCUGGGCAGGUGUUGAUGGUCAGACUCUGACAGAAUCUGAACCAGUGGUUAAAAGGCCUGGAGAAUCUCACAGAUUGACCUGUACAGCCUCUGGAUUCACAUUCAGUGGCUACUAUAUGCACUGGAUCAGACAGGCUCCUGGAAAAGGACUGGAGUGGAUUGCUUAUAUCAGUCAGCUUAGUGGUAGCGACAAAUACUACUCUCAGUCAGUCCAAGGCCGGUUUACCAUCUCCAGAGACGACAGCAGACAGCAGGUGUAUCUGCAGAUGAACAGUCUGAAGACUGAAGAUUCUGCUGUUUAUUAUUGUGCUCAACACUCACUGGAGUUGGUUGAGCAGCUUAACUGGAAUUAAAUCUAUUGAA
Non-coding RNA from Scatophagus argus, 403 nucleotides. Lineage: Eukaryota; Metazoa; Chordata; Actinopteri; Scatophagidae. The record is from the annotation of a RefSeq genome assembly.